This 305-nucleotide ribosomal RNA is filed under the name uncultured bacterium. RNAcentral's name for it is "bacterial SSU rRNA". It matches the Rfam family "Bacterial small subunit ribosomal RNA", at positions 337 to 659 of the family's 1533-position model. The record is from RNAcentral.
UCCUACGGGGGGCAGCAGUCGGGAAUAUUGCGCAAUGGAGGAAACUCUGACGCAGUGACGCCGCGUAUAGGAAGAAGGUUUUCGGAUUGUAAACUAUUGUCGUGAGGGAAGAAAUUGACAGUACCUCAGGAGGAAGCUCCGGCUAACUAUGUGCCAGCAGCCGCGGUAAUACAUAGGGAGCAAGCGUUAUCCGGAUUUACUGGGUGUAAAGGGAGCGUAGACGGCGCGGCAAGUCUGAAGUGAAAGGCAGGGGCUUAACCCCUGAACUGCUUUGGAAACUGCCAUGCUAGAGUGCUGGAGAGGUA